This 448-nucleotide ribosomal RNA is filed under the name uncultured bacterium. RNAcentral's name for it is "bacterial SSU rRNA". It matches the Rfam family "Bacterial small subunit ribosomal RNA", at positions 329 to 794 of the family's 1533-position model. The record is from RNAcentral.
AACCAGACUCCUACGGGAGGCAGCAGUGGGGGAUAUUGCACAAUGGGGGAAACCCUGAUGCAGCGACGCCGCGUGAGUGAAGAAGUAUUUCGGUAUGUAAAGCUCUAUCAGCAGGGAAGAAGAUGACAGUACCUGAGUAAGAAGCCCCGGCUAACUACGUGCCAGCAGCCGCGGUAAUACGUAGGGGGCAAGCGUUAUCCGGAUUUACUGGGUGUAAAGGGAGCGUAGACGGCAAUGCAAGCCAGAUGUGAAAGCCCGGGGCUCAACCCCGGGACUGCAUUUGGAACUGUGUAGCUGGAGUGUCGGAGAGGCAGGCGGAAUUCCUAGUGUAGCGGUGAAAUGCGUAGAUAUUAGGAGGAACACCAGUGGCGAAGGCGGCCUGCUGGACGAUGACUGACGUUGAGGCUCGAAAGCGUGGGGAGCAAACAGGAUUAGAUACCCUCGUAUC